This 468-nucleotide ribosomal RNA is filed under the name uncultured bacterium. RNAcentral's name for it is "partial 16S ribosomal RNA". It matches the Rfam family "Bacterial small subunit ribosomal RNA", at positions 28 to 507 of the family's 1533-position model. The record is from RNAcentral.
GACGAACGCUGGCGGCGUGCUUAACACAUGCAAGUCGAACGGAAAGGCCCUGCUUUUGUGGGGUGCUCGAGUGGCGAACGGGUGAGUAACACGUGAGUAACCUGCCCUUGACUUUGGGAUAACUUCAGGAAACUGGGGCUAAUACCGGAUAGGAGCUGCUGCUGCAUGGGGGGGGUUGGAAAGUUUCGGCGGUUGGGGAUGGACUCGGGGGUUAUGAGCUUGUGGGGGGGGUAGUGGCUAACCAAGGCUUUGACGGAUAGCCGGCCUGAGAACGGAACCAGGGACCAUGGUCCUGCGAGACGCCGCAGAGUCCUACGUUAGACAGCAGGCGGAAAUCUGGCCCAACCAGCGCACGCCUGAGGAGGAGAUCCUCCGUUUGUAAAGCAGGCUAUCGUGGUAUAAACCGCAUUAGCCUGUUACCAAGCGUGAGUGACGUUACCAGCUAAAGAAGCACCGGCUAACUACGUG